Long non-coding RNA from Parus major (Great Tit), 1530 nucleotides. Lineage: Eukaryota; Metazoa; Chordata; Aves; Passeriformes; Paridae. The record is from Ensembl.
CCCGCGGGCGCCGCCGCGCCCCCUCCUGGGCAGCGCUGGGCAGUGGCGGUCUCGCGGCAGAAGUGCCGCCCUCAGGGGAGCGCCCGAAGCGGGAGUCCCCCAAAAACCCCACACGCGAGCGGGAUCCAAACCUCUGCCGGUGCAUUCCGCAGCCCUGCCCGAGGCCCGGCCGGUCCCUGCCCCAGCCAUGCUGGGGCUCAUCCCGCGUGGAUCGCGGCCUCUCUUUCCCCAUCGGCGGCCGCCACGUCGCAGGUGUUGGCGCUCGGGACCCUGAGGUCUGGGUUGGAGCAGCAUCCCCAGCAGAGCGAGCCCAAGGAAGGAUGGUGGCUCAGCUGGAGUUUCUUCCCAUGGUCCUCUUCUGGGUGAAAAACAGGAAUACAGCCUGGAGUUACUUUGAAAGGAUAAAGCAUCCUCCUGUGCAGCCCAGGAGCCUGCUGAGUCACUGCUGCUCUCCCUCUUCCACCUCUUCCACUUUUUUUAACACAGUCACAUCCCUGGCUCACAGGAUGGCAAGGGGAGCAGGUGGCUGAAUUUUCCUUCUGUUCCCUAAUUGAGCUACAGCCUAGAAUGCUUAACAUCAUGUGUAAAUCACAAAUAUCAGCACAGAAUUCCCAGUAACUGCAAUAAGAUAGGGAAGAAGAGAAUCGGGCUUUGCAUGCUCCCUACUGGAAGCUGCUCUGUGCUGUUGCUCUGGGCUGCUGCUGCUGCUGAACACACUUCACUCCAGGGCUGGCUGCAUUUCUGUGAUGAAUGAAGCCACCCUGUGUCCAACCCUGUGUGUUUUGUUUUAAUUCUGCAGAGCUCUUUGGAAUCUUCUAGGAAGAAAGUCACUAUAUAAGUGUGAGAUUGUUGUUUUUAUUUGAACUGGAAAAUUGCCUUUCUGAAAAUAGUAAGUUGUAGAUUAAAUGCCAAACCAGGAUGAGGCAAUACUGCUUUGUACACAGAGAGGAUUAUUAGAAAUAUUUCUUUAGAAUGAUACCCAGAAUGUGAAUUACUCAACUUGCCAGGUUACUUAUGAAACAGAAAAAGUUACAGAAGUGCUUAUGUAACAUUGUUUUUCCAGAAAAAAUAGGUGGUGAUUUUUCUCAGCAGUUCCAUCUGCUAAAUGGACUAACAUCUUGCAAAACCCCCUCACUGCUUUUCCUCCCAGAACUCCUGCAAGGGGACACACACAAAAGAAGAUCUAUGCGUUACAAAGAGCAAUCUCAGAUGGUUUAAGUAGGCAAUCGGAUACAAGAACAAGCUUGGACUAUUUGAUGGGUGAGAAAGGUCAGUUUGUUUUUAGCUUCUCUGCAUAUAAAUCAUCUAUGAAAAAGUUUAUUUUGCAAAUGUCUUGAGCAGUACAAACAAGCAAUACAAAGUUCAGUGAUUUGGGGGUGGGCAGCAAGGUGGCCAAAAAGGUCUCUUGAUGUGCUUCAUCCUUGUCACAGCAGCACUCGGUUCCACCACUCUGACACAAUCCCAAAUUAUUCCCUUUCUGCCAGCACUGAUGUGCAGAGGGUUGGCAUCAAUGCAGAGCAACUCUUGCAG